RNAcentral lists this transfer RNA (93 nucleotides) under Mycolicibacterium vulneris. RNAcentral's name for it is "tRNA-Trp". Lineage: Bacteria; Bacillati; Actinomycetota; Actinomycetes; Mycobacteriales; Mycobacteriaceae. The record is from RNAcentral.
CCCGGCUCGGUCCGUGCGGUGACGGCACUGUCGCCCGCCAGAGGCGGGAGCAGGGUCGAGAUUCCGGCGGCGUUCCACUCAUCGAGCUGGGCC